RNAcentral lists this ribosomal RNA (2520 nucleotides) under Triticum aestivum (bread wheat). RNAcentral describes it as "partial small subunit ribosomal RNA". The record is from RNAcentral. Lineage: Eukaryota; Viridiplantae; Streptophyta; Magnoliopsida; Poales; Poaceae.
AUGCCGCCGCCCACGCCCCCACUCCUCCUCUUCCUCCUCAUCCUCCUCUCGCUCGCCGCCGCCCACGCCCACCCAACCCGCCGGCUCCUCCAGAACCAGCCCACCACCAUCCCCGCUCCACCACCACCGCACCGCCACCACCGUCACACCCCGCCGGUGUCGGGCCCUCCCUCCCCUCCGCAACCAGCACCACAGCCCCUCCCUCCGCCCCCACCUCGCGCAAGGCACCACCGCACGCCGCCCGCCUCCGCAUCNNNNNNNNNNNNNNNNNNNNNNNNNCCCGCAUCAGCGCCGCCCCCGAACUCGAACCCGAAUCCCGCCCCGUCGCCGCCGACGCCGAGGUUCUCCUCGACCUCCACCACGCCGGUGAGCGAGUACCCCUUCACCAACUACCCCUUCUUCCCCUCCUUCUCCCCGCCGCCGCCUCCACCCUCCACCGCAGACCAGCAGGCCCAGCCCUCGGCAGACGGCGACGCGUCCCGAACCUUCCCGGCCAACAUCUCCACCCUGGUGGCCCCCAACGCCGGCAGCAGCAGUAACCAGGGGCAGGGCGGGAACUCCCGCGGCAUCCCGGUGCUGCAGGCGCUGCUGCUCGCCUUCCUCUCCCUCUGCCUGCUGCUCCUCUCCGCGCUCCUCUCGCUCCACCUCUUCCGCCGCCUCCGCAGGCACCCCUCCGGCCACCGCCGCGCCGCCAACGGGGCGGCCUCCUCCACCACUACAACGGCGCGGCGGGACGCCGAGCUGGACGAGGAGGAGGACGGCGACGAGGAGGGGCGCAGGCUCAAGCCGCCGCCGAUGCCCACCUCCUCCUCCAACCCCAGCACCGAGUUCCUCUACCUCGGCACGCUCGCCACCCCGCCGCCGGGGACUGCUCCGCCCCCCUCGCAACCCCGCCCCGGCUCGCCCGAGCUCCGCCCGCUCCCGCCGCUGCCCCGCGUCGGCCCGCCCUCCGGCGAGUUCGGCUCCCGCAGCUCCGCGUCCGACCCCAGCACCGUGCCCCGCGUCGGCCCGCCCUCCGGCGAGUUCGGCUCCCGCAGCUCCGCGUCCGACCCCAGCACCGUGCCCCGCGCGGCCGCCGGCGACGCCUCGUCCUCGUCCCUCUCCCCUUCCUCCCCCUCGGCGUCCUCACCCACGCUCGGCUCCAGCCCCGUCCACAUCCGCCCGCCGUCCAUCCCGCAGCCCCGCGGCCGAGCCCCCAAACGGAGGCCGCCGCCGCCUCCACCACCAGCUCAAUCGUGGAACCCCUUCGUGCCCGUCCCGCCGGCACAAGCCGCUCCCCCCUCCGACGACGACGGCGACUCCUCCUCCACCAUUGCCGCGGCGAUGCACAAGUCCCGGCCGCUGCACUCCGACAAGCUCAACCCCGGAUCUCUGCACAUGAAGGACGAGAUGAUCCAGCUCUACCUGAACAACUCCGCCGCCGCGGCCGCAUCGGCGGCGAGGGAGGUGUGCCUGCUCGGUGCGCCGAGGUGCCACGGCAUUGGCACGGUGCUGGGUGCACUGGGUUUCUCCGAGGAGCAAGUGCGUGAUGCGCUCUUGGAAGGUAAUGCACAUGGUUUGGGAUUGGAAGCCCUGCGGAUGCUCGCUCGGUUGGUUCUCACCAAUGAGGAGGAGCUUAAGCUCAGAUAUUACAAGGAUGACCCACCUGCCAAGCUUUGCGCGGUCGAUGCCUUUCUGAAGACGAUACUGGAUGUGCCGUUUGCAUUCAAGCGAGUCGAUGCUAUGCUCUAUGUUUCUAGCUUUUAUCUGGAGGUCAAUCAGCUGAGGAUGUCCUACGCUACUCUCGAGGCAGCUUGCGAGGAGCUGAGGAGCAGCAGGCUAUUCCACAAGGUUCUUGGGGCAGUCCUCAACUUUGGCAACAUGAUGAGCAUCAACACAGGCUCUCCAAACUCACAUGCCCUGGAGCCCAACACGGUCCUGAAGAUAGUCGACGUCAAAGGCGCCGACGGCAAGGCGGCGCUCCUGCAGUUCGUCGUCCAGGAAAUCAUGAAACCCGAAGGCCACAACAAUCUGAACCCGGCAUGCAAGACGGACGCGUACGACGUCGACUGCAGGAAGCACGGCCUCCAGGUGGUCUCGAAGCUCGCCGCCGAGCUGACCAGCACCAAGAAGGCGGCGUCGGUCGACAUGACGGGCCUCAGCCGGAGCGUGUCGGAGCUCGGCGUCGGCCUCGGGAAGGUCCAUGACGUGCUGAGGCUGAACGGCAUGGCGGCCUCGGCCGAGAGCGCCCGGCGGUUCCACAACGCGAUGAGUGCGUUCCUGCGGCAGGCCGAGGAGGAGAUCGUCAGGCUCCAGGGCCAGGAGAGCGUGUGCCUGUCGUCGGUGCGGGAGAUGGCGGAGUACUUCCAUGGCGGCGAUGAGGUCGGCGACGGCGAGGCUCGCUUGUUCAGGGUCUUUGCGGGUGUCCGGGAGUUCGUGGCCAUGCUCGACCGGAUCUGCAGGGAGGCCGGGGAGGUCCAGGGCGACCGUGUCGGCUCGACGCCGGUGAGCUGGGUGGCUCCCAUGGGGACGACGCCCUGA